This 1359-nucleotide ribosomal RNA is filed under the name uncultured prokaryote. Its description in RNAcentral is "partial 16S ribosomal RNA". It matches the Rfam family "Bacterial small subunit ribosomal RNA". The record is from RNAcentral.
AGAGUUUGAUCAUGGCUCAGAUUGAACGCUGGCGGCAGGCCUAAAACAUGCAAGUCGAACGGUAACAGCAGAGCUUGCUCUGGCUGACGAGUGGCGGACGGGUGAGUAACGCGUAGGAAUCAAACCAGUAGUGGGGGACAACUUGGGGCGCAUACGCUCUACGGGGGAAAGCAGGGGAUCUUCGGACCUUGCGCUAUUGGAUAAGCCUGCGUGGGAUUAGCUAGUUGGUGAGGUAAAGGCUCACCAAGGCGACGAUCUCUAGCUGGUCUGAGAGGAUGAUCAGCCACACUGGAACUGAGACACGGUCCAGACUCCUACGGGAGGCAGCAGUGGGGAAUAUUGCACAAUGGGCGCAAGCCUGAUGCAGCCAUGCCGCGUGUGUGAAGAAGGCUUUCGGGUUGUAAAGCACUUUCAGCUGGGAGGAAAAAGCCGUGACGUUACCAACAGAAGAAGCACCGGCUAACUCCGUGCCAGCAGCCGCGGCAAUACGGAGGGUGCAAGCGUUAAUCGGAAUUACUGGGCGUAAAGCGCGCGUAGGUGGUUUGUUAAGCGAGAUGUGAAAGCCCCGGGCUCAACCUGGGAACUGCAUUUCGAACUGGCAGGCUAGAGUAUGGUAGAGGUAAGUGGAAUUUCCUGUGUAGCGGUGAAAUGCGUAGAUAUAGGAAGGAACACCAGUGGCGAAGGCGACCUUCUGGGCUGACACUGACGCUCAUGUACGAAAGCGUGGGGAGCAAACGUGAUUAGAUACCCUGGUAGUCCACGCCGUAAACGAUGUCUACUAGCCGUUGGGAGACUUGAUUUCUUAGUGGCGCAGCUAACGCAAUAAGUAGACCGCCUGGGGAGUACGGCCGCAAGGUUAAAACUCAAAUGAAUUGACGGGGGCCCGCACAAGCGGUGGAGCAUGUGGUUUAAUUCGAUGCAACGCGAAGAACCUUACCUGGCCUUGACAUCCUUAAUUUCGCCUAGAGAUAGUUUAGUGCCUUCGGGAACUCGGUGACAGGUGCUGCAUGGCUGUCGUCCGCUCGUGUCGUAAGAUAUUGGGUUAAGUCUCGUAACGAGCGCAACCCUUGUCCUUAGUUGCCAGCGAUUCGGUCGGGAACUCUAGAGAGACUGCCGGUGAUAAACCGGAGGAAGGUGGGGAUGACGUCAAGUCAUCAUGGCCCUCAUGGGCAGGGCUACACACGUGCUACAAUGGUCGGUACAGAGGGUUGCCAACCCGCGAGGGGGAGCCAAUCCCACAAAACCGGUCGUAGUCCGGAUCGGAGUCUGCAACUCGACUCCGUGAAGUCGGAAUCGCUAGUAAUCGCAGAUCAGAACGCUGCGGUGAAUACGUUCCCGGGCCUUGUACACACCGCCCGU